RNAcentral lists this ribosomal RNA (459 nucleotides) under uncultured bacterium. Its description in RNAcentral is "partial 16S ribosomal RNA". It matches the Rfam family "Bacterial small subunit ribosomal RNA", at positions 338 to 795 of the family's 1533-position model. The record is from RNAcentral.
CCUACGGGAGGCAGCAGUGAGGAAUAUUGGUCAAUGGCCGGAAGGCUGAACCAGCCAAGCCGCGUGAAGGACGAAGGUGCCAAGCAUUGUAAACUUCUUUUGUCAAGGGACAAAAUCAGGCUCGAGAGCCUGACCGAGGGUACUUGAAGAAAAAGCAUCGGCUAACUCCGUGCCAGCAGCCGCGGUAAUACGGAGGAUGCGAGCGUUAUCCGGAUUUAUUGGGUUUAAAGGGUGCGCAGGCGGCGAGUUAAGUCAGCGGUAAAAUUUCGGGGCUCAACCCCGACAAGCCGUUGAAACUGGCUUGCUAGAGUGGGCGAGAAGUAUGCGGAAUGCGUGGUGUAGCGGUGAAAUGCAUAGAUAUCACGCAGAACUCCGAUUGCGAAGGCAGCAUACCGGCGCCCAACUGACGCUCAGGCACGAAAGCGUGGGUAUCGAACAGGAUUAGAUACCCUUGUAGUC